RNAcentral lists this transfer RNA (70 nucleotides) under Streptomyces sp. MAG02. RNAcentral's name for it is "tRNA-Val". RNAcentral also lists the same sequence under 5 other names. The record is from RNAcentral. Lineage: Bacteria; Bacillati; Actinomycetota; Actinomycetes; Kitasatosporales; Streptomycetaceae.
GACAGGGAGUGAGCGGUUCCGCGGGCGGAUUCACCCUCCGCUGGCGGCGGUUCGAUUCCGUCCGGCGUCG